GACGAACGCUGGCGGCGUGCCUAAUACAUGCAAGUCGAACGCUUCUUUCCUCCCGAGUGCUUGCACUCAAUUGGAAAGAGGAGUGGCGGACGGGUGAGUAACACGUGGGUAACCUACCCAUCAGAGGGGGAUAACACUUGGAAACAGGUGCUAAUACCGCAUAACAGUUUAUGCCGCAUGGCAUAAGAGUGAAAGGCGCUUUCGGGUGUCGCUGAUGGAUGGGCCCGCGGUGCAUUAGCUAGUUGGUGAGGUAACGGCUCACCAAGGCCACGAUGCAUAGCCGACCUGAGAGGGUGAUCGGCCACAAUGGGACUGAGACACGGCCCAGACUCCUACGGGAGGCAGCAGUAGGGAAUCUUCGGCAAUGGACGAAAGUCUGACCGAGCAACGCCGCGUGAGUGAAGAAGGUUUUCGGAUCGUAAAACUCUGUUGUUAGAGAAGAACAAGGACGUUAGUAACUGAACGUCCCCUGACGGUAUCUAACCAGAAAGCCACGGCUAACUACGUG
Molecule: ribosomal RNA, 508 nt
Filed under: uncultured bacterium
Lineage: Bacteria
Description: partial 16S ribosomal RNA
Rfam family: Bacterial small subunit ribosomal RNA
Source: RNAcentral